RNAcentral lists this ribosomal RNA (496 nucleotides) under uncultured bacterium. RNAcentral describes it as "bacterial SSU rRNA". It matches the Rfam family "Bacterial small subunit ribosomal RNA", at positions 29 to 517 of the family's 1533-position model. The record is from RNAcentral.
AUUGAACGCUGGCGGCGUGCCUAACACAUGCAAGUCGAGCGGUAACAGGUGUAGCAAUACAUGCUGACGAGCGGCGGACGGGUGAGUAACGCUUGGGAAUCUGCCUAUUAGUGGGGGACAACCCGGGGAAACUCGGGCUAAUACCGCAUACGCUCUACGGAGGAAAGCCGGGGACCGCAAGGCCUGGCGCUAAUAGAUGAGCCCAAGUCGGAUUAGCUAGUUGGUAGGGUAAUGGCCUACCAAGGCGACGAUCCGUAACUGGUCUGAGAGGACGACCAGUCACACCGGAACUGAGACACGGUCCGGACUCCUACGGGAGGCAGCAGUGGGGAAUAUUGGACAAUGGGCGAAAGCCUGAUCCAGCGACGCCGCGUGGGUGAAGAAGGCCUGCGGGUUGUAAAGCCCUUUCAGUGGGGAAGAAAAGCCUCGACCUAACACGUCGGGGUCUUGACGUAACCCAUAGAAGAAGCACCGGCUAACUCUGUGCCAGCAGCCG